UACGUAGGAGGCGAGCGUUGUCCGGAAUUACUGGGCGUAAAGAGCGCGUAGGCGGCACGGUACGACCGGUGUGAAAGCCCCCGGCUCAACUGGGGAGGGUCACCGGUAACGGCCGAGCUAUGAGUGCAGGAGAGGGAAGUGGAACUCCGGGAGUAGCGGUGAAAUGCGUAGAGACCCGGAGGAACACCAAUAGCGAAGGCAGCUCGCUGGGACGUUACUGACACUGAGGCGCGAAAGCGUGGGGAGCGAACAGG
Molecule: ribosomal RNA, 254 nt
Filed under: uncultured bacterium
Lineage: Bacteria
Description: partial 16S ribosomal RNA
Rfam family: Bacterial small subunit ribosomal RNA
Source: RNAcentral